AAAUAAUAUAUGUAAUGGAGUUUUCUGUAAAGUUUUGUAGAAAUUAAAAGGGAAUGAGGUUUGAAUCCUCAACGGUCCGGCCACUGUAAUUGGUGAGCUACUUCCAGUAUGCCAUUGAGAAUAUUCUUGAGAAGGCGGAAGAAAGUGAUGAACCAAAAGUCAGGAUACCUGCUUUAUAUGUUGAUACAAC
This is a non-coding RNA of Clostridium tetanomorphum DSM 665, 190 nucleotides long. The record is from Rfam. NCBI's taxonomy places the organism in Bacteria, Bacillati, Bacillota, Clostridia, Eubacteriales, Clostridiaceae.